UAAUGGUUUAAAUUCUUUUGCCUCGAAGGUCCAGACAUUUGGUGUGCAGGUGCCAUGCAAGAAAAUAGACGAUUUGACAAGUGGGGUCGUAAUGGCACAAGUCUUACAGAAAAUAGAUCAAUCAUGGUUUGAUGAAACCUGGAUGAGUCGUAUCAAGACAGAAGUGGGGGACAACUGGCGACUAAAGGUUAGCAAUUUGAAGAAAAUUUUGAAAGGAAUUAUGGAUUAUUAUCAUGAGGUGAGAUAGUUUUGCUUCAGAAUUAUUUUGAAAAUGUUUAGAAAUAAUCGCCAUAAUUACAAGCAGUCCUUGGGUUGUGAACGGAUUCUGUCCUUGAGUCCGUUUGCAAGUUGAGUUGUCUGCAAGUUGGAGCAGAAUGCAGGACAAUACAAAAUAGCUGUUCAUAAGUACGAGGCAAUGUUUGUAUGUCAGAUCUUGAAAAUUGAUAUUAAUACACCCCUUUAUAGGAUUAUAUCCAAAAGCAUAAGUAUUCUUAAGUCGGACGUUCGUAAAUCUUGAAGCCCCUCUACAGUUUAAGGAUUUCAGUCUUAUCUAUAGAAUAUAUAUAUAGAAUAUAGCAUUCCUGUUAAAAAGAACUGAUCAUUUUGAAGCUUCUCAUAUUCUCUUGUACUUGCACGGGUGCAUGACGAACCGAAAUUGAGUGCCCCAGUUCUUGCACUAUAUUCACAGUCUGGUUUUCUGGUGAGGGUUGUUCAGCUGCCCACACCUAUUGGGAAUAUGCUAUUUUCUAAUGUUUACAGGUGGUGUUUUUUGUGAUGAGAUCAGAACGCAAGGUGCUAUUUUAAAAAUGUCAUGUUCUCCCAGUUA
Molecule: long non-coding RNA, 826 nt
Organism: Rhincodon typus (whale shark)
Lineage: Eukaryota; Metazoa; Chordata; Chondrichthyes; Orectolobiformes; Rhincodontidae
Exons: 3
Source: RefSeq, a predicted model, not a curated record